GUUAAUAUUUGUAAAUAAAGAUUUGUUAAAAGAUGGACUUGAAAUCCAUUGGGUUCUACCCGCGCAGGUUCGAAUCCUGUCCGCAGCG
Henosepilachna vigintioctopunctata is the source of this 88-nucleotide non-coding RNA. The record is from the annotation of a GenBank genome assembly. Lineage: Eukaryota; Metazoa; Arthropoda; Insecta; Coleoptera; Coccinellidae.